UACGUAGGUGGCAAGCGUUGUCCGGAAUUAUUGGGCGUAAAGCGCGCGCAGGCGGUCCUUUAAGUCUGAUGUGAAAGCCCACGGCUCAGCCGUGGAGGGUCAUUGGAAACUGGAGGACUUGAGUACAGAAGAGGAAAGUGGAAUUCCACGUGUAGCGGUGAAAUGCGUAGAGAUGUGGAGGAACACCAGUGGCGAAGGCGACUUUCUGGUCUGUAACUGACGCUGAGGCGCGAAAGCGUGGGGAGCAAACAGG
RNAcentral lists this ribosomal RNA (253 nucleotides) under uncultured bacterium. Its description in RNAcentral is "partial 16S ribosomal RNA". It matches the Rfam family "Bacterial small subunit ribosomal RNA", at positions 524 to 776 of the family's 1533-position model. The record is from RNAcentral.